Molecule: ribosomal RNA, 245 nt
Filed under: uncultured bacterium
Lineage: Bacteria
Description: partial 16S ribosomal RNA
Rfam family: Bacterial small subunit ribosomal RNA
Source: RNAcentral
UACGUAGGGGGCGAGCGUUGUCCGAAGUUACUGGGCGUAAAGCGCGCGUAGGCGGGCUGUUAAGUGGGAAGUGAAAGGCUGGGGCUCAACCCCAUGCACGGCUUCUCAUACUGGCGGUCUUGAGGGCGGCAGGGAGAAGUGGAAUGGCUGGUGUAGCGGUGAAAUGCGUAGAGAUCAGUCGGAACACCGGUGGCGAAGGCGGCUUCUUGGGCCGUUUGCCUGACGCUGAGGCGCGAAAGCCAGGG